Astatotilapia calliptera (eastern happy) is the source of this 1505-nucleotide long non-coding RNA. The record is from Ensembl. NCBI's taxonomy places the organism in Eukaryota, Metazoa, Chordata, Actinopteri, Cichliformes, Cichlidae.
CUCCUUGUUUAGAGACCUUUUGCUUAAGAGUAUGCAGCAUUACACUGGCACGUACAAUAGGAAUGUCAUGCCAGAGUUAGUGUCUUUAUUUAUGUGGGACAUUGCGGUGUAGUUAUCAGGUCACAUUCUCUAACUCUGUCAGCUACUCGGGCCUGUGUGUCGUCUGCAGCACCUGCUGUGUAUCCCAAUCCCGAGGCUGCGCACGGCUCUGCUUAUCUGCAACCUCUGUGACAGUGUCAGUCUCUUUGUGGCUCUGUACUAAUGGUUUCCUUUGAAACAUAAAUUAGACUUGAAAGAAGGGAGAGAACGAACACAUGAUUGAGGACUGAAAGGUACAGAGAGAGCUUGAUAGAUUUUUCCGUCAUUAAUAAUACAGAUUGUCUUACCACAGAGCCUCUAUCAUGUAGUCUAAUUACAUUGAUUUUGUAUGUCAGUCAAGUAUUUUACCAGAGUGUAGCCUUCAUUCGGUAUGCAUGUGUGUGCCUGUUGUAGAGAAUUAGCCAGGUCAAGCAAAGGGCUGUCAGAGGACUUUGUAAUUAAGGACUGUGUGGCAGCAGCAUGUUUCCCAUUAGGGCACCAGUAUCACAUCCCAGCCAUGUGAGUCAGCCUUGGCAGUCUUGCCCUGUUUAAUAGAGUUAAACAGAAACGCUUAGGCUAAUUAUCUACAUCACUGAUAGGAUUUGCCUGUAGCAGUCACAGUAUAAAGCAGCAACAGCUAUCAAUUGAACAGAAAUGAUUGGGAAGAGUGUAAGUUUUAGUCAUGUGUACCUUUUUUUUGCACAUUAAUGUUCACAAAAUGUAAUUAAAUUAUUUUCAAUUUUUUUUUUUUUUUUAAAUAUGCAGACUGCACUGUUAUUAGUUGCAUUUUGAGAGACUCUGAAAAAAACUAUCUCCGGUCUAAAUUAAAUCAACAGCGAUCUGAUUUCAGAAAUACUACUCUGAAAGAACAUUUCCUUCUCCUCAUUUUUUUUUGUUGGUGUUUUUUUUAAUAUGUCCAGUUGUGCUCCUCCAUUCUCUCGGUCUGUCUUUUUGUCAUUCAGCUUGCUGUGUUGUCUCCAAACCCUAGUUUUUCCUCCACCAUUGUCUGUAAUGUUCCCAACAGGCCUCGAGUAACUUUUUUCAAAAAACGUCUUACAACAGAGAACAUAAUAAUUAGAGAUGCAACCUCAGAUAUGUCUGAGUUUUGUGCUCAUCCGGAGCAGGCUGAUGUUCACCUAUCCAGUAAUGUCAUUGCACAUGUAGCAAUGCAGAACAAUUGUGAUUGUUCUGUUUGGUAACAAUAUGCGCGACAUAUUGAUUGGCAUGAGGAUAUUUCUUCUGUGAUGCAAAAUUUAAAUGGGAUGGGCUGCAAUUGUGACUGGCUUGCUAAUAAUGCCAGUGUUAACAAUAAUGCAUUAGCUGGCAACCAACAAGUGUAGUCUGCCGUUUUCUAGUUUUGAGAAUCCUGCAAGUCCAUAUGGGAAGUCUUUCUCUUUUCCUUUAAUAACCCUGGGGCCAUCUGGCAU